CGAGACAGCUUAUAUUGACCUCUGACCUCAAAUCAGGUAGGACUACCCGCUGAACUUAAGCAUAUCAAUAAGCGGAGGAAAAGAAACUAACAAGGAUUCCCCUAG
This 105-nucleotide ribosomal RNA is filed under the name Funalia sp. UOC MINNP M01. RNAcentral's name for it is "partial 28S ribosomal RNA". The stretch from base 23 to 105 matches the Rfam family "Eukaryotic large subunit ribosomal RNA", at positions 1 to 83 of the family's 3401-position model. The record is from RNAcentral. Lineage: Eukaryota; Fungi; Basidiomycota; Agaricomycetes; Polyporales; Polyporaceae.